CGACCGCUGGCGGCGUGCUUACCACAUGCAAGUCGAACGGAAAGGCCCUGCUUUUGUGGGGUGCUCGAGUGGCGAACGGGUGAGUAACACGUGAGUAACCUGCCCUUGACUUUGGGAUAACUUCAGGAAGCUGGGGCUAAUACCGGAUAGGAGCUCCUGCUGCAUGGUGGGGGUUGGAAAGUUUCGGCGGUUGGGGAUGGACUCGCGGCUUAUCAGCUUGUUGGUGGGGUAGUGGCUUACCAAGGCUUUGACGGGUAGCCGGCCUGAGAGGGUGACCGGCCACAUUGGGACUGAGAUACGGCCCAGACUCCUACGGGAGGCAGCAGUGGGGAAUAUUGCACAAUGGGCGGAAGCCUGAUGCAGCAACGCCGCGUGCGGGAUGACGGCCUUCGGGUUGUAAACCGCUUUCGCCUGUGACGAAGCGUGAGUGACGGUAAUGGGUAAAGAAGCACCGGCUAACUACGUG
Molecule: ribosomal RNA, 466 nt
Filed under: uncultured bacterium
Lineage: Bacteria
Description: partial 16S ribosomal RNA
Rfam family: Bacterial small subunit ribosomal RNA
Source: RNAcentral